AACUGCUUCAAUGCAAUUUUAAUAUUGUUACCAGGAAAGAAGCAGCAUUAAUAGCACAGGGGGAAAAGGCCUAUUUAUGUAGCAUUUAGAAAGAUGACAGAAUACAAGGCUGAUUUGCAUCUUUAUUCUUUCCCUCCUUCGGGUCGUCUGUCCGCACACCCCCACCUCCUUCUCCCGCCGCCCUUCUUCCUUCAGUUUUUCCCAUCUUCCUUAUUAUCGUCUUUUACAUUUUUGGCAUUCUCUUGCCAUGAGACUCAACUCUAUUCCUUAUAGGUAGCACUGGUAAGCCACAGCUCUGAACUGCUUUAUUUUGUAAAGCAGAGACUUCUACGGGGUUAAGUUUGUUGAGCAACAGAUCUACCUAAGAUUCUGUUUCACUGGGAUACCAGCCUCCCACUCCUGAAUCACAGGCUCUCACACAAUAGGAGUCGUUGAAGCCCUCUGUUCCCAGGUCUGGUGGCUGGGAAACCUGACAAAGCCGCGGCCCGCGCAGGGCACCUUCAGCUCCGAGGGCGGGACCCGGCCGGGAAGCCAGCCUGAGUGCGCCGGCGCCCACCCAGCGCGGCGCUCCAGGACCUUCUAGGGGCUUCUCGACUUUUCCUCAGUUAGCUGGAGUAGGGGGGUGCUCCCUCAGCUCCAGUAUUCCUCAGCACUGCUUCUCUGUUAUUUCUUUACCCUUACCUUCAGCAUCAGCCCCCUGCCCACUCCGACCCCCAAGAGGCCCCCAGCCCGGCCGUGACCCCGAGGAGCCUCUCCUCGCUGGGACUCCUGAGGACAGGGUCCUGCGCUGGGUCCCCAGAGAGCCUUCCUCCUUCGCCCCCCUCCCGGGCACCCAGGCGAAGGGCAGCGGGGGAGCCCGGGAAGGGGAGCGGGAAGAGGGGAGCGGGAAGGGCGCGGGGCCAGGCGGGAGGAGAGGAGCAGAGGCCAGACAGGGGCUCUCGGUUUCCCGGGGUCUGAUUGGAGGUUGGCCCGAUGAGUCGGAGCUGGGGGCGCGCCCAUCUCCGCUGGCUCCUGCGAGAGCCGCCCGCUCGGCCCCUCCCCGGAGCCGCUUUGUCCCGGGUGACGGCGGCGGAGGUUGCGGCGAGCAGAGGGCGGGAGGCAGAGACCCGCCGACCCGCGGAGCCGGAGCCGGAGCCCGAGCCGGAGCCCGGGAGGCGGGGCGCGCCGCGCACGGCCCCACGCCCAGGCCCGCGGGCACCGCGCCCGUCCCCGCGCGCGCUCGGCCCGGCCGCCAGGUGAGCAGCCGCGCCGCGCCCGCAGUCGCCGGCCCCGCCGACCGACCGACCGCCCAGCCAUCGCCUCCGCCUCCGCCGGCGCAUCGCGGACGCCCAGCAGGAAUGAGGGGAGAUUCUUACUUCAUUGGGAUGAGGAGCCUGGGGCAGCAGGGCCACAUCCCGGAAGAUGGAGGACUGUUCUUGCUCUGCUGCAUAGACAGAGACUGGGCCGUGACUCAGUGUUUCACGGAGGAGGCCUUUCAAGCCAUCACGGACUUCACCGACCUCCCCAACUCACUCUUUGCGUGCAACGUCCACCAGUCGGUGUUUGAAGGGGAAGAAAGCAAGAAGAAAUUUC
Molecule: long non-coding RNA, 1572 nt
Organism: Capra hircus (goat)
Lineage: Eukaryota; Metazoa; Chordata; Mammalia; Artiodactyla; Bovidae
Source: Ensembl